UGAAAUAAAGGUGAUGACGUUCACCUAUUAAAUGAUCGUAAGCAAAUGACCUGAUGACGUCUACUAAACU
RNAcentral lists this non-coding RNA (70 nucleotides) under Liquorilactobacillus vini. RNAcentral's name for it is "Lactobacillus vini Fluoride sequence". It matches the Rfam family "Fluoride riboswitch aptamer (crcB RNA motif)". Lineage: Bacteria; Bacillati; Bacillota; Bacilli; Lactobacillales; Lactobacillaceae. The record is from RNAcentral. RNAcentral also lists the same sequence under 1 other name.